CAACUUUAAAUUAGAAUUUAAACCAAUAUUUAAAUCUCCCAACUUAACAAAUUUAUUUAUUUUAUCUCGUUACUUAUUAUUUAAUUGAUUUUUUUUUAAACAAGGCAGUCGGCAUUCAUUAAAAUGUAAUAAAUAAAGAAACAAGAAACUAAUGCGGCCUUUACUCCCUCACUUUAUUCUUUCAACAAUAUCCUUCGAUAGUCUUCUUCUGCCUCCAUCGCUGCCGAUUGAGGAAAUCCAUUUUGCGGCUAAGUAACCUCUACUCUUUUAAGCCCUUCCACUGCUAAUGCAUGUGCCACUUUAUUCGCCAUUCUUGAGGUAUUUUUAAACACGCAUGCUUCGUAGCCAGAUCUUAGCAUUUUUUGUGCUUAAGACAUCGGCACUGAUUCCCGAUUUAUAUAUUUUUCCGGAUUGCACCUUUUUUAUAACUGAUAGCGCAUUGCCUUCGAUUUCAACUUUUCCUAAUCCCAGAUCCAACCUUAAUUGAGCUGCCUGGACACAGGCAAUCGCCUCUGUUUCAAAAUCGGCUGGUAUAUGCUCAUUUAGGCGCAUGGUAAAGUUUAGCACCCUCCCACUUGAAUUUCUGACCACUAUCCCUGAGCAUGACCUAUUGCUUUGUUUGUGAAAUGCAGCGUCAAAGGUAAUUUUACGAACAAUUCCCCCGGUGAUCUCCAACGCUCCCCCUCUAUUCUUCGUGCAGGUAACCUUUUGUUAAACUCCUCUAGUUCCUGUAUGUAACUUGUGAUGAAACUGGCUAUUUUUUAUUCAUUUUGAAAUAUCCCCUCAUGUAGGUAUUUGUUCCUAGUCCACAAAGCCCAGAAUGAGCAAACUAUUAUUCGACAGUUUUAUAUUGAACCAUUAUUGUAAAGGUACAACAUCCAUUCUUUAAAAUGUCUUUUAUUUAAUUUCGGCAGCUAAUCUAUGGCUUUCUCCGGGUAUUCUUUGCAGCUAAACAAUCCCGAAAGGCACGCUUAGCAUUUUCCACUUCGCUUGUACAAUUAGGACACUUGGCAGAUCCCACUAUCCUCCUUUGGUAUAGAUUAAAGACCCUCGAAUUCAUAAUUUUUAUUUUUGAAGGUAGAUCUAGGGACCAGAGUUUUUUUGAAAAAAGUGUUGUAAUCUUGUUGUUCAUUGUUGAGAGUAGUCGAGUGUGUCUCUUGUAUAAGUAUUUUGUAUCCACUCCUUACUGAGUAUUCGCCAGAAGCCUCACCUCACCAUACCAGUCUAUCUUUUUGUGGUGCAUAUGGAAAAGGGAUACACAAAAUCAUUUCAGCCUCUUCUUCAUUAAAGGUAGUUCUAAGUACCCCUUCCUUCCAACCAUUAGUAGUUUGGUCAAUUAAAUCCGACACAUAACGUAUAUGUUGAUUGUUUUCUUGUGUUUGAAAUUUGAAAUUUGCAACACUUGGCACCCACAUGUCUUCCCAAACCAGAACUUGAUUUCCUGAUCCGAUUCAUCAGCACAAACCUUUCUUUAGUAGCCCUUUCGUUGCCCACACACUUUUCCAGGUAUAUGACGGUAAAUUUCUCAACCUAGCAUUUAAGAAAUUUGUUUCUGGAUAAUAUUUAACCUUUAACAAUCUUGCCAAUAAAGAAUUUGGGUAAGAAAUAAAACGCCAACCUUG
Molecule: long non-coding RNA, 1622 nt
Filed under: Gossypium barbadense (sea-island cotton)
Lineage: Eukaryota; Viridiplantae; Streptophyta; Magnoliopsida; Malvales; Malvaceae
Description: long non-coding RNA (GBAR_LNC014134)
Source: RNAcentral